This 402-nucleotide ribosomal RNA is filed under the name uncultured Allostella sp. RNAcentral's name for it is "bacterial SSU rRNA". It matches the Rfam family "Bacterial small subunit ribosomal RNA", at positions 353 to 772 of the family's 1533-position model. The record is from RNAcentral. Lineage: Bacteria; Pseudomonadati; Pseudomonadota; Alphaproteobacteria; Rhodospirillales; Allostellaceae.
AGUGGGGAAUAUUGGACAAUGGGCGCAAGCCUGAUCCAGCAAUGCCGCGUGAGUGAUGAAGGCCUUCGGGUUGUAAAGCUCUUUCGCCCACGACGAUGAUGACGGUAGUGGGAGAAGAAGCCCCGGCUAACUUCGUGCCAGCAGCCGCGGUAAUACGAAGGGGGCUAGCGUUGUUCGGAAUGACUGGGCGUAAAGGGCGCGUAGGCGGCGCAUCAAGUCGGGCGUGAAAGCCCCGGGCUCAACCUGGGAACUGCGUUCGAGACUGAUGUGCUGGAGUUCGGGAGAGGAGAGUGGAAUUCCCAGUGUAGAGGUGAAAUUCGUAGAUAUUGGGAAGAACACCGAUGGCGAAGGCAGCUCUCUGGACCGAUACUGACGCUGAGGCGCGAAAGCGUGGGGAGCAAA